RNAcentral lists this long non-coding RNA (1713 nucleotides) under Chrysemys picta bellii (western painted turtle). RNAcentral describes it as "lncRNA (ENSCPBG00000007164.1)". The record is from RNAcentral. Lineage: Eukaryota; Metazoa; Chordata; Testudines; Emydidae.
AAGGGGGGGCAGAAGAGGGGGCAUAUGGGAUGGGGCCUUGGGCACAAGGGGAGGGGCCGGGGGUAGCCCGUGAGCACUUUUCUAUAUUCCGCUGUCCUGCAAAACAGUGUUAAGAACUGAGAGGGGGUUUUGAUAACACGGCUUUGUCUUUUUGUGGAAAAAGUCUGAAGAGCUUAAGACCGUUUGGCUCAGCAGAGUCCUUACUUUUGCAAAACAAGGUCAUGCUGUCUCGUUAAUACCAGCUCAACCCAAAGCCAUGCGCACACCAACUUCAGCUAACAGCUAAAUCAUAUUGAAUCCUUUCACCAGUGUUAAAUCUGUAUCUACAGUGUCACCCAGCUCUCCCCACUCCCAGGCCCAGACCCAGACCCAGACCCAGACCCUAGAGAGCUGUUCCAGCAUCCACCCCAAUGGCUGCUCUGGAAGACAUUUCUUAAUGGCUGUUUUUACAGCUCAGUAAUGCAGACGGUGUUUCUUUAAAAAUGCAUCACAAACAGUGAAAGUGAAAGCUUCCGAGACUUGUUGAGGAGAAGCGAACACACUGGCUCAGUUGCCAUCUGACUGUAGAGCCGUGAGGAUGUCUAUCCUGUUCCAGGUGUUUGUAGAAGGGGUGGAGGGCAGAAAAAGCAUCAUAGAUGUGGCAAACAAAGAGCAGGAAUUCAACAAUAUGACCACUGACAAAUUCAUGGAGAUGGUGGCAGCCAAACUCCUGAAGAAGCCAGGUUACCAACAGUUUAGUUUGCUGUACGCUAACCAACAAAUGGAAAGAGGGAAGAAAUUCUCAGAUUAUUUUAUCAGAAACAAGUCUACCUUCGUCAUGGUUAUACAGCUGCCUGGAGGAGGGAGUAACAUGUUGACUGAAUGAAGGACUGUUUUCACAUAGAAAAUGAUGUGCAUCGGGGCCUACCCUGGACUGUGGUGGGUUCCUGCAUAGGCAUGGAUUUGGUUAUCAUUUGCCUGGAAAGAAUCCAGAGAGGGGAGUGGUGAUGAGCCUCAAAGGUCACUGUCACACCCAGAGCUCAGCACAGCAGAGGGAACACCCGGACAUCACUGCCAGUCCACCAAGCCACCAGGUUGAUAAACAUGAGGAUUCUGCUGUUUUCCUUUCCCUUGUGUGUUGCUUUCCAUCCCCUGCUAUCUUCCGCCUGUCCUAUCUCUCUCUCUCUGUGUCUUUGAGCUGAUCCUGUAAUCAACUGCAAGGCAUGACACCAGCACAAUGGGAUCAGAGAGCCACUCAGUGAAGGACUGGUGAAAAAAAGGACCUGCCCAGACCAGCCAGAUGAUGACCAGGAGCGGGAAAGUGAGUCAGGGUCCGGAACAACAGCUAUCCUGACCGCCUUGCCAGUCCAGAGAGCAUCUGUCCAUGACAGACCAGCUGUCUUGUGUCCUGAAAACACCAACAAAAAGCUGUAUUUCUCCCACCUUAUUAUCUGUUCUCCUCUUCCACUUCCCUCUGCAUCCGUUUUGUUAAAAGCAGGGAAAGUAACCACAGAACUCACAGCUCUCAACAAAAGAACGAACUGUCUUCCCCGCUAAGAAAUGAGCCAGAAUGAGAGACUCUCACCAAUAUCCUCUCUGAAAAAAGGAACGUCAAGUUUUGCUUACGAUUGUUUUGCUUAACGCUCACUUUCAAAAUACUUUGUCUUGUUUUGAAUUAUUUUUUUGUGUAUCCUGAUCAAUAAAUUUCCAAGCUGCAGCGUGAGGAUUCGAUUG